UACGUAGGGGGCAAGCGUUGUCCGGAUUUAUUGGGCGUAAAGAGCGUGUAGGCGGCUUUACAGGUCCGUUGUGAAAACUCGAGGCUCAACCUCGAGACGCCGGUGGAAACCGUAAGGCUAGAGUCCGGAAGAGGAGAGUGGAAUUCCUGGUGUAGCGGUGAAAUGCGCAGAUAUCAGGAGGAACACCUGUGGUGUAGACGGCUCUCUGGACAGUAACUGACGCUGAGACACGAAAGCGUGGGUAGCAAACAGG
This 253-nucleotide ribosomal RNA is filed under the name uncultured bacterium. RNAcentral describes it as "partial 16S ribosomal RNA". It matches the Rfam family "Bacterial small subunit ribosomal RNA", at positions 524 to 776 of the family's 1533-position model. The record is from RNAcentral.